RNAcentral lists this ribosomal RNA (429 nucleotides) under Fusobacteriota bacterium. RNAcentral describes it as "Fusobacteria bacterium partial 16S ribosomal RNA". It matches the Rfam family "Bacterial small subunit ribosomal RNA", at positions 355 to 776 of the family's 1533-position model. The record is from RNAcentral. Lineage: Bacteria; Fusobacteriati; Fusobacteriota.
UGGGGAAUAUUGCGCAAUGGGCGAAAGCCUGACGCAGCGACGCCGCGUGAGGGAUGAAGGUUUUCGGAUCGUAAACCUCUGUCAGAAGGGAAGAAACCGCACUGUGCUAAUCAGCAGUGCCUUGACGGUACCUUCAAAGGAAGCACCGGCUAACUCCGUGCCAGCAGCCGCGGUAAUACGGAGGGUGCAAGCGUUAAUCGGAAUUACUGGGCGUAAAGCGCACGUAGGCUGCUUUGUAAGUCAGGGGUGAAAUCCCACGGCUCAACCGUGGAACUGCCUUUGAUACUGCUUAGCUUGAAUCCGGGAGAGGGUGGCGGAAUUCCAGGUGUAGGGGUGAAAUCCGUAGAUAUCUGGAGGAACAUCGGUGGCGAAGGCGGCCACCUGGACCGGUAUUGACGCUGAGGUGCGAAAGCGUGGGGAGCAAACAGG